CCUACGGGAGGCAGCAGUGGGGGAUAUUGCACAAUGGGGGGAACCCUGAUGCAGCGACGCCGCGUGGGUGAAGAAGCGCCUCGGCGCGUAAAGCCCUGUCAGCAGGGAAGAAAAUGACGGUACCUGAAGAAGAAGCCCCGGCUAACUACGUGCCAGCAGCCGCGGUAAUACGUAGGGGGCAAGCGUUAUCCGGAUUGACUGGGUGGAAAGGGGGCGCAGACGGCGAUGCAAGCCAGGAGUGAAAGCCCGGGGCCCAACCCCGGGACUGCUCUUGGAGAUGCGUGGCUGGAGUGCAGGAGGGGCAGGCGGAAUUCCUGGUGUAGCGGUGAAAUGCGUAGAUAUCAGGAGGAACACCGGUGGCGAAGGCGGCCUGCUGGACUGCAACUGACGUUGAGGCCCGAAAGCGUGGGGAGCAAACAGGAUUAGAUACCCUAGUAGUC
RNAcentral lists this ribosomal RNA (440 nucleotides) under uncultured bacterium. RNAcentral describes it as "partial 16S ribosomal RNA". It matches the Rfam family "Bacterial small subunit ribosomal RNA", at positions 338 to 795 of the family's 1533-position model. The record is from RNAcentral.